Molecule: small nuclear RNA, 100 nt
Filed under: Neogale vison (American mink)
Lineage: Eukaryota; Metazoa; Chordata; Mammalia; Carnivora; Mustelidae
Source: RNAcentral
AUACUUCAGCAGCAUAUACACUAAAAUUGGAACAAUACAGAGAUUACCAUGGCCCCUGUGCAAGGGUGACAGGCAAAUUCAUGAAGUAUUCCAUAUUUUU